GAUAUCAGUGAUUUCUGUGACUGCUACUUUUCAGUAUCUGCUAUUCUUAACUGUGAUUUGUCGCAGUUAAGGAAUGUAGGUCGCGUAUCCCUCCACCACUGCUAUUUCUGCUACUUUCGCGAUUUCUGUGACUUCUGCGAUUUUUGUGACUUGUGCUACUUCUGCGAUUUCUGUGACUUCUGCGAUUUCUGUGACUUCUGCGAUUUAUGCGACUUACCACCGUAUGAAAAAGCUACAUUUGCCCACACAGAAAAUUGCAUCUCAACAAAUCUGUCAUUGGCAAGUACCCGAACUACAUUUCUGUCACUCAGUAAAUUGAUAACUCAAAAUAUCAUUGUCAAGAGAUCUGGAGAAAUUGCCACUGCAUCUUUAGACCGUUUUCGUCAGACGAGAGACACAGUUCUGACUCUUGAUUACUGGUUGCUGUACGUAUCUAUCCAUAUCAUGGCUAUUGAGAGAGACUCGUGAAGAUUCAAGGCAGCUCUUAGAGGAUUUGCAGUUUAAAAGUGACAUAAUUGUGAAAUAAGUGUGCAGAUGAGUGAUUAAACUGUGUUUUAUUGAAGUUGUUAUGCGAUUUUAAAGGAAUAAUAAAUGUUAAAU
This is a long non-coding RNA of Schistocerca gregaria, 600 nucleotides long. RefSeq lists it as uncharacterized. The transcript has 3 exons. The record is from RefSeq and is a predicted model, not a curated record. NCBI's taxonomy places the organism in Eukaryota, Metazoa, Arthropoda, Insecta, Orthoptera, Acrididae.